GACGAACGCUGGCGGCGUGCCUAAUACAUGCAAGUUGAGCGCUGAAGGUUGGUACUUGUACCAACUGGAUGAGCAGCGAACGGGUGAGUAACGCGUGGGGAAUCUGCCUUUUAGCGGGGGACAACAUUUGGAAACGAAUGCUAAUACCGCAUAAAAACUUUAAACACAUGUUUUAAGUUUGAAAGAUGCAAUUGCAUCACUCAAAGAUGAUCCCGCGUUGUAUUAGCUAGUUGGUGAGGUAAAGGCUCACCAAGGCGAUGAUACAUAGCCGACCUGAGAGGGUGAUCGGCCACAUUGGGACUGAGACACGGCCCAAACUCCUACGGGAGGCAGCAGUAGGGAAUCUUCGGCAAUGGACGAAAGUCUGACCGAGCAACGCCGCGUGAGUGAAGAAGGUUUUCGGAUCGUAAAACUCUGUUGGUAGAGAAGAACGUUGGUGAGAGUGGAAAGCUCAUCCAGUGACGGUAACUAACCAGAAAGGGACGGCUAACUACGUG
This 497-nucleotide ribosomal RNA is filed under the name uncultured bacterium. RNAcentral describes it as "partial 16S ribosomal RNA". It matches the Rfam family "Bacterial small subunit ribosomal RNA", at positions 28 to 507 of the family's 1533-position model. The record is from RNAcentral.